CCUACGGGCUGCAGCAGUGGGGAAUAUUGCACAAUGGGCGCAAGCCUGAUGCAGCCAUGCCGCGUGUAUGAAGAAGGCCUUCGGGUUGUAAAGUACUUUCAGCGGGGAGGAAGGCGGUGAGGUUAAUAACCUCACCGAUUGACGUUACCCGCAGAAGAAGCACCGGCUAACUCCGUGCCAGCAGCCGCGGUAAUACGGAGGGUGCAAGCGUUAAUCGGAAUUACUGGGCGUAAAGCGCACGCAGGCGGUCUGUCAAGUCGGAUGUGAAAUCCCCGGGCUCAACCUGGGAACUGCAUUCGAAACUGGCAGGCUAGAGUCUUGUAGAGGGGGGUAGAAUUCCAGGUGUAGCGGUGAAAUGCGUAGAGAUCUGGAGGAAUACCGGUGGCGAAGGCGGCCCCCUGGACAAGGACUGUCGCUCAGGUGCGAAAGCGUGGGGAGCAAACAGGAUUAGAUACCCUCGUAGUC
Molecule: ribosomal RNA, 465 nt
Filed under: uncultured bacterium
Lineage: Bacteria
Description: bacterial SSU rRNA
Rfam family: Bacterial small subunit ribosomal RNA
Source: RNAcentral